Molecule: long non-coding RNA, 1850 nt
Filed under: Felis catus (domestic cat)
Lineage: Eukaryota; Metazoa; Chordata; Mammalia; Carnivora; Felidae
Description: lncRNA (ENSFCAG00000053782.1)
Source: RNAcentral
UAGGAGCAAUUGAUUAAGGGUCAGCCUACCAAAGAGGAAGCCUCUAUAAAUAAUUAGUUUGUCUGUUUAUGUUAUCACUUAGCUCGGACUGUCAUUAUCCAUCCUACAAUCAAGUUGAAAUCAGAGACUCAUUUACAUGGAUAUAAAUGAAAAUUGUCUACUGCUAAUUUGAUGUUCUCAACCAGACACAUCCAGAUUAGUAUGGAAGAAGGAAAGCCUGAUCAAUACUUACAGGAUAUAUCUCAACUGCCAAAAAUGAGACAGUGUGAAGAACAGAAACCAAUGCAAUGCGCAGCUUCGAUGUUUCCCGUGAUGGCCUGUCUGAGAGCAGAAAGAUGAAAGUUACUCUCCUGAGCCCUGCAAGUACAAGGCUGUCCCAAAUCCUUCCUGAUAAGCAUCAAACGGAGACAACCAGCUACAAGAAAUUCCUCCAGCAACAGAAUAAAUAUUGGCACGCCAAGAAAUAAUCUACUGAUGGGGACAGAGGCUCUGAAAAUCAUCCUGUGACUAGUCAAUCCCAAGUUCAGUGGCAAAUCCUCAUCUUGACACAAUCAGGAAGAUGUCAAAUUUGAAACAGCAACUGGAGACAUAUCUUCUCAAGCCUAUACGAAUACAUUUUCAGCUGCAGAAGUUGUGUGAUGCAAAAAUCAAGGUAAACAAGCAAGUUUGUCUUUUAAAAAUAAUCAGGCUUGGUUGUGAUAACUUGAAGUACAAUAUUCCCUUUUUAUUGAGUUCAUUUCAGGAUAUAUAUAUAUAUAUGUAUAUAUAUAAUUUAUUUAUUUACUUUUAUUUAUUUUUUAAAAUAUUUUUUAAUGUUUAUUCAUUUUUGAGAGACAGAGAGAGAGCAUGAGUGGGGAAGGGGCAGAGAGAGGGAAACACAGAAUCUGAAGCAGGCUCCAGGCUCUGAGCUGUCAGCACAGAGUCUGACGCGGGGCUCAAACCCAAGAACUGUGAGAUCACGACCUGAGCUGAAGUCGGACGCCCAACCGACUGAGUCACCCAGGAGCCCCUCAGGAGAUAUUUUUUUAACUGAGGUACACAUUAUGUACAGAAACAAAAUAUUUUUUCUAGAAAGUAUUAGAAACUUCCUGAAUAUUUAGGUCCUGAGAAGCUGUUUUUCAAAAAUAUCAGUUUGCCUUGCCAUAAGAGAAGUAUCGGAUUCAAAGGAUAAGAGACAGAGAAGCACAGGGAGACGCAGACACACACACACACACACACACACACACACGCACACAACUCAUACACACAGACACACCAAUUGCCAGUAUUUGCUGUUAAUGUACGAAAGAUUUUUUCCCCAAAUUCUGUAAAAUCUACCUCUUUUAAGAGCUCAUAAAACAAAUGUAACAAUUCUGAUCUAGAAAUUUCUAAAUUAAUCUCAAAAGUUUUGGUUCAUUCUAGAUAUUUCUUGAACAAAAGAUGCCUUUGCACUGACUUGUACAUGAAUAGCUCAGUAAGUAAGUAAGUACUUAUUGAUCUGGUUGGAAGAUUGCCCUAACAGAUGAUGAUUUUUCAGGGUCCAGGGUUAUACUUUAUGUAGGUUUAUAUCAGCAUCACUGGGCACUGGGCCCUCUCACAUACUAGCUACUCAACAGAAGUUUGUUGAAUGGAUGAAUCUGUUCCACUUAUUAUCUUACCAUCACCUGUAUUCUACAAAACAACAGGGCAGCAAACUCAUGGGUUGGUAUUCAGGAAGAUCAUAAACCAUAGCCAUCCCAACACUAUAGAUUUAGUUACUUGGUUUAAGUUAAUUACAAUUUUUUUAAAUUAGAACAACAAAAUACCUGAGCACCUGGCUUUCUGACGUCAUGCUCAGCUGUAUCUACAGGAUGUCCCUACAAAAGUCUUUG